This 985-nucleotide ribosomal RNA is filed under the name uncultured archaeon. RNAcentral's name for it is "bacterial SSU rRNA". It matches the Rfam family "Archaeal small subunit ribosomal RNA", at positions 1 to 959 of the family's 1478-position model. The record is from RNAcentral.
UUCCGGUUGAUCCUGCCGGACCCCACUGCUAUCGGGGUGGGACUAGAUCAUGCAAGUCGAGCGCCUUCAAGCUAUGGUGAAGGCGCGCUUAACGGCUCAGUAACACGUGGCCUUCCUACCCUUGGGACGGAGACAACCCCGGGAAACUGGGGCUAAUCCCCGAUAGGUAAGGAAUCCUGGAAUGGAUCUUUGCUGAAGGGGCGUCUGGACCAUGCUUCUUGACGUCGCCCAAGGAUGGAGCCGCGGCCGAUCAGGUAGUUGGCGAGGCAACGGCUCACCAAGCCUAUAACCGGUACGGGCCGUGAGACCGGUAGCCCGGAGAUGGGUACUGAGACUAGGACCCUCCCCCUACGGGGCGCAGCAGUUGCUAAAACUCCGCAAUGCGCGAAAGCGUGACGGGGCUACCCCGAGUGCCGCCCGUUGAGGGCGGCUUUUCCACGGCGUAAGGAGCCGUGGGAAUAAUGAGAGGGCAAGACUGGUGUCAUCCGCCGCGGUACUACCAGCUCUCCGAGUGGUGGGGACGAUUAUUGGGCUUAACGCGUUCGUAUCCGGCUUAACAAGUCUUCCGUUAAAUCCAACGAUCUAAUCGUUGCGCUGAGGGGGAUACUGUUGGGCUAGGAGGCGGGAGAAGCCGACGGUAUUCUCGGGGUAGGGUGAAUUCCUGUAAUCUCAGCGAGGACCACCACUGGCUGAAUGUGCUCGGCUAGAACGCGCUCGUACGGUGAGGGACAUAAAGCUGGAUGAGCGAACCGGAUUAGAGACCACAUAGUACCAGCUGUCAACGAUGCGAGCUACGUGUUGAGGUGCCGACGAGACACUUCAGCUCCGCAUGUGAGCAAUUAAAGACGUCUGCUGGGGAGUACGGUCUCAUACGCUGAAACUUACAGGACUAGACUGGGCGUAGCUCACACGACUGAAUCUUGCGAAUGAACUGGACUGCAACGUCAGCAAUGCAUCAAAGCAUACUGGCAAAUCAAGCGCGGCU